Non-coding RNA from Ictidomys tridecemlineatus (thirteen-lined ground squirrel), 69 nucleotides. Lineage: Eukaryota; Metazoa; Chordata; Mammalia; Rodentia; Sciuridae. The record is from Rfam.
GGGGAAGUAGCUCAGAGGUAGAGUGCUUGCCUAGUAAGCUUGAGGCUCUGGGUUCUAGCCCCAGCACCA